UACGUAGGGUGCAAGCGUUAAUCGGAAUUACUGGGCGUAAAGCGUGCGCAGGCGGUUGUGUAAGACAGAUGUGAAAUCCCCGGGCUCAACCUGGGAACUGCAUUUGUGACUGCACAGCUGGAGUGCGGCAGAGGGGGAUGGAAUUCCGCGUGUAGCAGUGAAAUGCGUAGAUAUGUGGAGGAACACCGAUGGCGAAGGCAGCCCCCUGGGUUAACACUGACGCUCAUGCACGAAAGCGUGGGGAGCAAACAGG
This 253-nucleotide ribosomal RNA is filed under the name uncultured bacterium. RNAcentral describes it as "partial 16S ribosomal RNA". It matches the Rfam family "Bacterial small subunit ribosomal RNA", at positions 524 to 776 of the family's 1533-position model. The record is from RNAcentral.